RNAcentral lists this ribosomal RNA (253 nucleotides) under uncultured bacterium. RNAcentral describes it as "partial 16S ribosomal RNA". It matches the Rfam family "Bacterial small subunit ribosomal RNA", at positions 524 to 776 of the family's 1533-position model. The record is from RNAcentral.
GACAGAGGGUGCGAACGUUGUUCGGAAUUACUGGGCGUAAAGCGCGUGUAGGCGGCAGCGUGUGUCGGGCGUGAAAUCCCACGGCUCAACCGUAGAAGUGCACUCGAAACUGCGCAGCUAGAGUCCUGGAGAGGAAGGUGGAAUGCUUGGUGUAGAGGUGAAAUUCGUAGAUAUCAAGCGGAACACCGGUGGCGAAGGCGGCCUUCUGGACAGUGACUGACGCUGAGACGCGAAAGCGUGGGGAGCAAACAGG